Molecule: long non-coding RNA, 10521 nt
Organism: Artibeus jamaicensis (Jamaican fruit-eating bat)
Lineage: Eukaryota; Metazoa; Chordata; Mammalia; Chiroptera; Phyllostomidae
Exons: 9
Source: RefSeq, a predicted model, not a curated record
UCUAAGGUCUACUCUCUCAGCAACUUUCAAACAGGAGCACACAGUCAGUAACUACGGCCACCCUGCUGCACACUUCAUCCCCAGGACUUAUUUUAUAACUGGAAGUUUGCACCUUUUGACUCCCUUCCCCCAACCCCUCCCCUUUUUGUAACGUAUUCUCUUUAUCUUUCUCCCCUGCUUCCUUCCUCCCUCCCUCCCUCCUGCCUUCUUUCCUUCCUUCUUUCUUUUGUUGUUAUUUAUCUUUUCCGUUGUCACAGGCGGGCUGUCGUGAACUACACUACCUAGAAGGCAGUGAGGAGGGGACUUGUGACUCUGAGGUCAAUGUGGCAGCUGAAGCUGUGACGUGAAUUCGGAGAAUGACUCCACCAGACCCGAGACAGCACUUGUAAAGGAGAUGGCACGGUUGGCCAAACUACGGCUCCAGAAGAAAAUAGAACAGAGAGGCUGCAAGGAACCCGCGUUCCAACAUCGGCAGGCCUCAGCAUCGAAUAGAUUGCCUGCCUGGAGUUCUCUAGUUUGAGAUGGUAACAUACUUCGUUUUUCUUGACCCCUGGAUCUGGUUUCGGAAGUGUUUGCGUGAGACGCAGGAGAGCUGUUUAGAUUUUUACUCCUUCCGAGCAUAGGGAAAUACGACUGCUAGAAUCUCACAAAUAGCUCAUGAUUUCCCAGUUCCCUCUGGGGGAGGCCACUGUGAUUUUUGUGAAUGAUACCUGUCCUGCUCCAACCCCUUCGGGGCGAGCCAAAUACUCAUUCAGAAAAGCAGACAGUCAACUUGAGCGAUUCCCCAGUAUAAUAAAAAAGGCGAGCUGUUUUCUCCUCUUUUCCUUUUCUUUUCUUCAGCCUUCUCCUUCCCUUGGAGUUGGGGUCCGGCCUGCGUCUCAUGUCCCCGUGGUCUGGUAGGCCAUUGUGGAAGGUCUCAUUGUCUAUGGGGAAUGGGGCAGUGGGGACAGUAGCAGGUAAAUGGUCAUGGAUGGCCACAGGACACUGGAGAACAUGAGGAAGGGGCUGUGAGAGCGAGUAAUUUUUAAUCUGAGGUGUUGCCACAACUGACUGUUGCCCUGACCUGCUCUGAAGGAAGCAUACAGGUUCUCUCCAGAAUGCACUAGAAGAUGUCCGCACACUUGUGCGUCUUGGGGCCGGCGGCCCUGGCUUUGACUCUCAUGUCCACCUGUUAUUUGUUUCCACAUGUCCCAGGGCAAGUCUCUGAGCUUCUAGAAGCUUUAGUAGCCUGUGUCUUUAAAAUGUGAAUGACAAUCCUCUUUUUAUGGGUGGUUGUGGAGAUUCAAUGAGAUGAGUGUGUAUAGCGUACUCGGCCCAGGGCAAACCCUGGGAAAUCCUCAGUGGAUGGUAGGAGCCCAAAUGAUCACAGCGUUGUUGCUGUGAAGAGGAAAUCGAGUGACACUGUACACAGGCACUUGUACGUGGGGUUCAGCCAUGUUUCCUUGACGGUCACCACACCAUAAAAUGCUGCUUCGGCACCAGCAGAAGUGUCCAAAAAACUGCAGCAUUUGAAGUGUGGUGUCGGUCAAUUGGAGGUGAAUGAAACGGUGAGGGUGCAUCUACACAGGGGACUGGUCAGUUCUGGGGAUCUGGGAGCCAGCGGCCAAUAGCCGUGGCUCCAAACGUGCGCCACUGUGGCUGCUUCGUGGCCCAGUUUCAGGGCCUUUGAAUUUGUGGAACAGAGUGUGUCUGAGGGACACAGCGCCUGCUUGCCACUGUAGUGUGUUUCUUCCGUCGUUGACCGGCUGGUGUGCGGCCUCACGCUUCAUCCCCUACAGCCUCGUGACGGCUUGGACCUUCAGCAGGACGUCUUGGAGAGUGGCUUUCUGAGGAAGAUGUCCGGGCUGGGAAGAGCUCUGUGCUCAGCUGAGUGGCGCUUCUUCACUCACCCCCAGGAAAGGGAGCCGAGGAUGGGCAAGGAGUGGUGGCCCUGGAAGUGGAAGGACAGCUGGGAAUCUGGGAUCCAGGGCUGAAGACUGUCCAGACUCCAGAGAAAACCGAGGAGCAGGAAGAGGCCUGGAGGAGGGUCAGAGAGAAAACAAGCAGUUUACAGUCCUUACGAGGAAGAGCGAGGCCCCACGUCACCAAGGUCGUGAGCUGCAAAGGGCAAGCAGGAAGGCUCUGGAGCUUACAGUUCACCUUUUAGCUGAACGUUGGGCUAGUUGGGGAAACUUCCAGUGCCUCUUCCUUUGUAAAGUAGGAAUAAUAAGGAUUCCUUGCUCACUGGGCCACUGAGAGGAGCUCGGCGGUGUAGAUGGUGGAGUACCGGGUGUGGCUGCUGAGUGCGCUGUGCCUGUUGGAAAUGUCAGCUGUUACCGUGUUUACAGAAAUGAGGCCAGCAGGUGCAGAACUGGAACAGGGAGGCUUCCUGAUGGUUGUCAGUCAGCAGGAGAGGGAGUCAGGGAGCUGCUGUCAAUCAGCUAGUCCAACUCAACGCUUCAUAGAAUGACAAAUGAAGAAUUAAAAUACAGAUUGGAAAUAAAUAAGAGAUAAAAGAAUAAAUGAGGAUUUAAGUACAAUCAGAUUUUAAAACUUGUAGCUCUAUCCCAAGCUACAAGUCAUCUCUAGAGGUUGGUCAUCUCUAAACAUUUCACUAAGGCUGUUCAGCUGCAGGUCCUACAAAAAGGGAACAUAGGGGAAGGUCCCAGGCUAUUGACAGGUAGAAAUGAGUACAAUUCAGCCCUUUCUUUCUGAAGAUAACUGCUGUCAGUAAACACAGAUGUUAAUUUUAUUAAAUGAAUGUUAAAAGACAGACUUUAAUAAGCUUACACAAAGUCAAAAAUCCGCGGAAUCUCCUUGUAUAAGGAGCAAAGGAGUCCUGAAGAACUGGAUUUUUUUUAAGGAGAAAAAAGUAGGACACAACAAAAUAUUUUCUUUGGUUGCAAUGAAACUGAGAGAGGAGGAAGAAAACAAUUUAAUGUAAGAAAAAGGUGCAAUAAAAAUGUGAAUAUGGGGAGAAAAAAGAAGAGAAAGCAAAGAAACUGGGGCAGAUUCCCAAGUAGCAUGCACCGUGGUGACAAAGCCUUGGAAGAAUGAGGGCAAACUAACCAAAGCACCUCCGAAGGCUCUGCUUGUAGAAGACAUGAAAGAACAAGAGAGGGUCGGCAGAACCUUAGCUUUCUUUUUUAUUAGACAAGGAUGAAGAGACAAAAAUAAUGCCAUCAAAAGAACAGAUAAUGGCUCUGGCUGGUGUAGUUCAAUGGGUUGAGUGCUGGCCCGUGAACUGAAAGGUCGCUGGUUCAAUUCCCAGUCAGGGCACAUGCCUGGGUUGCAAGCCAGGCCCCCCAGUUGCGGGUGUGCGAGAAGCAACUGAUCGCUGUAUCUCUCACACAUCAAUGUUUCUCUCCGUCUCUUUCUCCCUCCUUUCUUCUCUCUAUAAAAAGUAAAUAAAUGAAAGCUUAAAAAAACAUAUGUUUGAUGCGCCUUAGAAAAAUCUUUACAUUAAAGAAAAGAACAGAAACUAGGAAUGAAGGCAUAAACCUGGAGGGUGGAGAACAUAGGCGUGAAGGAGGGUGGUCCAGAUGGGUGAGGGGUAUUCAAGUCGGAAGGCCUGGUGUGCUUGCAUUUCAGGGUAUGCAAAUGAGGAUGUCAGAGACAUUUCAUGAGUGCAUUUGUGCAAUCAGGGAGGAGCCCUGAUUUGUAAAAAGCUGCCACGCCCAUACACACCUGUGCACAUUGGUACAUGCACACACACACACACACGGAUGUAGGCAACGAAUCUUAAACGAUAGUCUCCGAAUAUAGCAGCAAGCAUCUUGAAUAAAAUACCGGGGAGGGUACAGUUUCUCUCACUGAGGAUGGGCAUCUCUGUGUGGCUAAGGCUCUCUCUAGUUCUACAGAGGGACCGACCUCGUCAGUGAGGCUCGUAACGUGUUGGGCUUCAGAGAGACCCUGAGCCUGUCCAAAAGGAUGAUGCAUAAACGGAGCCCCAUGACCAGACCAGCGACCAUGUGUGUUUGUCCUGUGUUCUGAACACAACCCCUUUUCAUGCAUCCUGGGCUCUCUCUGUGUCUAAUGUGCCAUCGUUUUCCCAGCUUAGUUUCACAGCGGAGUGCAUUUGAAGAGACAUCAAUUUCAUGCCUUGUACGAUUAUUUACCUCUCUUACAACAGGUACCAGAAACUUUGGUGAGAUUUGAGGUGAAUUUUGACUCAGCAAUAAUAUUUCUACGGGCUCUCAACCGUAACCUAAAUACCCUUGCGUCACUUCCAAAGCCACCUUUGGAGGAGCACCUUUUAUGAGUCAGUUGUGUGGAUGAGUUUGUUAUUUAAAAAGGCAAACUGGGAACAGGUAAACACUAAGAAUGUUUAAUGUUGGGCGGGAUGGCAAAAAAUGUUUAAUGACAGAUACUAUUUUUAAAAAUUUUUAAUUGUUGUUCAAGUACAGUUUUCUGCCUUUUACCCCCACCCCAGCCCAACCCCCCAGCCCUCCCCACCUCCCUCCCAUUUCCACCCCCCUUGUUAUCGUCCAUGUGUCCUGCAAACCCUAAAAAAAAAGGUCCUAUUGUCUGUACCUUUGCUGAUUGUUUAAUGAAAUUUCUUAUGGAGAAGUUAUCUGCAGAUAUCCUCACCCAUCAUCAUCAGUGAAACUGGUAUGAUUUCCUUACUAUACGGAACGAAACAGGUCAAACGUUUGGCAAAGUUGAUAUGCUCUUCAGUUUUAGAAAAGGCCGGGAGCCUUUUCUUGAUGCACAAGGUGACUACAGACCUGAUCAUUCACUGAGCUAUGUGACAAUGGUUUCUGCAUCUGUCCUCCAUGCAGAAAGGGAUGCUCUUUGCUUUCUCAGAGGGAAUGGGAACCCCUCUCAGGUGGGAUGUCGUAACCCCCAAACUCACACUGUGGCCUGCACAGAGUGGUGCUUAACACUCGUUGGGGGGAUUGAAAUAGUCACUUAGCAUUUUCCCGACUCUAGGCUAGUCUCUGGCUCUCGCGUUUGCCUUCACCGCCCAAGGAAGGCCCCUCAGGAAGCGACAGUGGGGUGGGGACCGAGGGAGGGCUGCUGACCGAGUGGAGGAGACAUUCACUCAAACCACAUCUGACAAACCAGAAAAGUAAGGUUGCCUCGAACAACUCGCUUUUAUCUGCCUGGAGUGUAUGAGAACAUACGUGUUCAGUGUGUUCCUCAGGGCGCUCUGAGCUUCGGUCCCCAAGCUCCUGCCACAGGCGCCCGGGACAUCUGACCAGGCCUGGAGGGGGACGUAGCGUGUGUCCAUAAGGAAGAGUGAUUAAGGAGUCGCCACCGUCCCCACCACUUUUUCCAUCUGUUGCUGCUGCAAAGAGUCUGGAGGGAGAAGCCAUCCCCGGCCAAAAUGACGUGGGCGGAUGCAGAUGGACUCUCAGUGAACUGUUUACCAUCUGUGAAGAAGAUGGGGUAGCUGUCCACCAAGCCAAUUUCUCAUUUUUCCUGGUGACACAGCUACACUAUUUUUCUCAGAAGAGGCCAUCUAGUCCUAGACAAAAGGAUGUGGGCAGAGAUUACGUGUGCCGUUCUCGGGCCGGUGCGGGAGAGCGAUCCUCCGCCUCCUCCCCCUCCCACCUGUCUGACAAAGGUUCCCAGACGGAAGGGACAAAUCCAUUCAGCAGUUUAAGGAUCCAGGACUAAGAGCACUGAUACGGGGUUUCUGACCAGCGAGACACCUCUCCGCACCCACAGGCCUGCAGGGGUAGACAGGACGGUUGCCAUGGUGCACUAAUGAUGCUGUUUGCCAUAGAACGGAAUGCCAGCCUGCUGAGCACGCACAAGUGUGUCAGUGUGUCUGUCUGUCUGUCUCUCUCUCACACCCCCGUGGAGAAGCGUAGCUGGCCACCAAGGAGGAAGUGAAGCAGGUUACAGCUGAAGGUUGCACCCUGCCCUGCACCCCGUGGGGGCCGGAAAACAGAGAACGGCUCUGGCGUCUGGUCUCCUUCUGUCCGAGGGCCUAUGGGCGAGGCCCUUUCCAGGCCAUGUAACCAAGCAGAAGCCCCCAGGGGCUCUUAAACUCAGGCUUUGCCAGACCAAGAAUUCCUCGUCUGCCGCCAGUCUGAUGUUCGUCAUGUUGCAGCAGAGAAGAACCAGAGAAGGCACAGGCCUGGCUGCUUAAAUUCUUUCUCUAAAAUGAAUGUGUUCAUUGUUUUCCAUGAGAAGAUCCUGAGGGUGAUGGAGUGGGAGAGAGGCCAUGGAGUGCUGCUGUUCAGUUCAAGGAUUAGCUGCUGAUGCCAGGCGACGCGGUUGCUGUUCUGCCAUGAAGCUCGUCGCACAGCUGGCUCCCGGCGGUCCACUCCGUCCCCCUCACAGCCCAGGGCUCGAGAAGCUGCACAUUCGGCUUGAGAUGUUGACGCAAGAAACACUCAAACCUGUUGAGAACUUGUAUAAGAAUUUAUGUGAGGCAAACAUAUGCUGUGAAGCAGAAGCUCAAACGCUCCCCGAAAUAACAGUUUGCAGCUCCUUUUAUGCACUUGGAAUUAAGGGAGGCCCUGGUUGGCGGAGCUCAGUGGAUGGAGUGCCGGCCUGUGGACCGAAAUGUCAUGGGUUUGUGUCCCACUCAGGGCACGUGCCUGGGUUGUGGGCCAGGUCCCAGGUUGGGGGCGUGGGAGAGGUGACUGAUCAAUGUUUCUCUCUCACACUGAUGUUUCUCUCCUUCUCUUUCUCCCUCCCUUCCCCUGUCUCUCCAAGUAAAUAAAUAAAUUCUUAAAAAAAAAUAAAUUAAGGAGGGAAAUAAGGAAGAUUAUGUGAAGGCAAGAGGAAGCCACUUGGGUGUGGGGUUAUGAAAUAGUUAAAAUCCUGUGCUCUCUUGGAGGUGGCCGUGUGAAGAUGGGAUUACAGGGUAGUUAAAAUAUAUGCUCUUUUGAGGGGCCUGAAAGAGGGCAUUUCAAAGGUGUAUUAACCUGGGUGCUUGGAAACAGUGGACAGGGCUUGCUUAAGGCAAAGAUAAGCCUUUCAGUAAAGAGGUUCUAUGCCUGGGGUGUGACUGCCUACCCUGCCCAGAUAGGAAUUGGCGGUCAGGUCACCCUGUGGGGUUACUUUCCACAGAAGCCCUUUUUUCGUCCACAAGAAGCCAACCUUUCCAGAUAAAGCAUCAUCAUUCUUUGUUAUAGAUACACAUGUGGCCUGCUCUCCCCACCAGAAAUUUCAGAUUGGCUCUGAAGGUCCUUAGGAGAAAAAUGAGAAGUGAUACUGGAUUCUACUCUGAGAUUUGAGCUUUGGGUCUUGACUUGCAUUUAAUGAUGGGUUUCUGGAAAGCCUUCUGUUCCCCAGCCUGCAGCACGGUAUUGCUCUUCAUGGUCCCAUGAAGGAGAAACUCAGCCACUGACAGGAAGGAGCUUGGGGUUUCUGCACAGGUAGUAGUAGCACACUGGAGUCAGGACGCAAGUGUGCAGACUGAGCCCCUGAGCGGUGAGAUGAGAAAACCCACAAAGCCCUCGGAGGCAGGAAUGGCAGGUGUUUCAAUGCCUCGUUCUAGAAGCAGAGUGUGAGGAGACGACCUGGAGCCCACACGAACUGCUCCAGCAAAAAGGCGAGGUGGACUGUCCUUGAGCUGACUCUGAAUGACGGGCUGUGGAACCAGAGCACACAGGGUAUUGUGUAGUUGUUGAUAGGUCCUAGUUUUCUACCAGGUGGUUUCAGACAGUCUGGCUGGCUCUCAGUGAACAAGGAAAGGGGAUUGGCAGGAACCGAAGGGUGCAGAGUAACUUCUCCUACGUGAGCUCUCCAGGAAGCAACUGGGAAGAAGAGAACCCCCAGGGGCUGACUCCCUAGAUGGCACCUUCACUGCUUUGUAGUUGGGGGCCCUGAAGAGGUGUCUGCAUAUUAAACAAAACAAAACAAAAAACUGAGUGACUAAAGGCUGUCCAGACGAAGGGUCACAUGGUGUAAAUGCCACUCUGCCCUUCUCACACCAUGACAAACAUCACCAACUCAUUGGGGCACGUUGUCCUGCUGAGAGACCUCACUCUGGCCUUUUGGUUGGAAAAAAAAUUAGACAUCCUAAGACAGCAAGAGACUAGUGUCAACAAAAAGGUGUCCCUCUCCUUUUAUUUCAGUCGACGGUGGUAGUCAUGAAGUCUCUUAAUUCACGUUGAUCUCGGUGACUUCAUUCUGACUCAGAAACUGGAAUGAUUACUAUUUUUUUCCAUAUUGAGAUGAAGGUUAAUUUUUCAAGGACAGACUCCUACUAACCAAGCUUUAGAAACCGAUGUUGUGAUGUAGUAAGACAUAUAUUUGGUCUUUGUUCCCCUAGUUCCUGGCACAGAGCUCCUAACACUCUUGGUUUCCUGAGUGAUAGGAAUGCCUUUUAUUAUUCGUCAAAGCUUCUCCUGAGCAUACCUGAGUUUAUUCUAAUGAGGUGAUUUAAGGGGCAUCCCUGGAUAACGCAGAACAGAACAGGUAACUAGGAAAGCCAAGUGAUUAGAGGCUUGAGGCUUGCAGCCUCUCCCAGGAAGUGGAGUGUGAGGGCAGCUGGAGAGUCAAGUUUUUUAAAAUUUAAAAAUAUUUUAAAAUUUAUAUCGGAACAAUAAAACCAAUUAUAUGUCAACACAUAUUCUAAUUGUAGUAUUCUAUUAUACAAGGGUAGCAUGAUUUGUUUUUUUUUUCUUUUUUGACUUAAUCUUUAUUGUAUUUUUUCCCCACAGAUUCCCAUAGUUCCAUAAAAACUCUUGAACAACGAGGUCUGACCAGCUUCCAGGAAGCUGGCCUGGACAGCACAGGGAGGUUCGCCGCCCCUCCCCCAUGCCUUGCCCCGUGCCUUUCUUCCCCCUGGCUGUUUCUGAGUUGUAUCCUUAACGAUAAAUCAGUAAACGUAAGUAAAUGCUCCCCUGAGCUCUGUUAGCCAUUCCAGCAAAUUACAGAAUCCAAGAAGGAGGUCAUAGAACCUGAUCUAUAGCAGGUGGGCCAGACAUGCCCCUGACAACCUGGGUUUGCAGCUGGCCUCUGAAAGUGGGGGGCAUUCCCAAGGGGCUGAGUCUUUAACCUGGGGGCUUGAUGCUAUCUCCAGGUAGACAGUGCCAGGACUGAGGUGAAUCUGUGCACCCCACUAGUGGGUGUCACCUGAGAAUUGGAGAUUUGCCGCAGGAAGAUCUCUCACAGAUCUGGUGUCAGAACAUUGAGAGUUGGAGGGAAAAUGCACUUCCAUUGCAGAUGUAUAAACGGAAAGGCCACUUUAUCAGGGCUCAUGGAUGACUAUUCUUGCACAAGUUCGAAGAGGGCCUCGCCUUCCUGUAGAGUUGAAUUGUAACCGGAAACUUUCUGGAGAAGGUUGUGCCCACGAAAGAACACUCAAACCUGCAAAAGAUUUUUAUAAGACCUUAUCUGAGUCGAAACUGAUGACAAUUUCCCAGAAGCAUGGUCGAAAAAUGCUUUGGAGAGUAAUUAAGGAGGUAAUGUAAAGAAAAUGACGGGAAGGUGGAGAAAGCAACCAGGAGGUCAGAUUUCAGGACAGUUCGGAUGACGUCAGGGUUUAGAAGGAGGGGCGUGAAAGGGAGCGGUUGGAAGGUGUGCCAACCUAGACAAACCAAACCACGGGCUGCCUUAAGGCAAAGAUAAGGCUUUCACUAAAGAAGUUGUGUGACUGCAGUGUGACCGCCCAGCACGACCUGCCCGGGUAGGAAUCUAUGAUCAGAUCACCCGUGAGGUUCCUUCGCCUAGAACCCGUUUUUCAUCCACACGUGGAACCGAAACUGAAAGAGUCAUACGUGUACAUUCACCGUUCAUUUACUAUCCGAUCAUUCUACCUUGGAGACAAAGUGUCUCAUCUCAUAGGGCCUACGUGGCAAUAAAAGGGACUGAAGGUAAAUAGGAAACAAUGAACAAACAAGGUAAUUCAAAUACUAUUACGAGGUACGAAGAGCGUAAAGCAGGGCACUGUGGCAGUGAAUCAGACGUUUCAUUUGUUCCCACAUUCUUGGCUGACCGGUCUUUCUACACUCCGUGAAUUCCUGACUCCAGAGGCAGAAUAACUGAGACCUUGGCCCAGGACAUGACUCCCUGGGGCAGUGCUUUAACGGGGGCUUUGCCAGCCAGUCUGAGGGCGCUCCUUGCUCACAGUCUUCCUUCAGAGCGAGCCGCACACCUGGUGCUGGGGAGCAGCAUGGGGCACUGACCAAGAGCACGCGCUCCGCCGCUGGAGCAGGGACCGGGAUGCGCACUGGGUGUUACUCCUUCAACAAAUGUUCGUCGAACAUGUAUUAUGUACCAGAUACUGCACUGGCCUAAACAGCAAUGGUGAACCACAUGACGUCCUUGCUCUCAUGCAGCCCGGGUGGCAGGCCAGGUUGCAGGUUGGGGGUCCAUCCCUUCCCCUUUUUCUGAAAGUAAGUAAAUCUAAAAAAAUUAAAAUAAAAGGGGUAAGAAGUACUAUGAAGAAGAAUGAAAGCAGUGGACUGGGAAUAGAGUCCUGGAGUGGUUGCUAUUCUGAGAAGGGUAACUUGGGCACAGUCUUCCCUAGGCAGUGACACCGGGGACCUGAAUGAAAUGAGGGGGCCAGCCAUGAGGAUGUUUGAGAGAACGGUCCAGGCGGUGGGAAGGCCAAGUGCGCAGGGUCCGAGCUGA